RNAcentral lists this long non-coding RNA (392 nucleotides) under Dermacentor andersoni. Its description in RNAcentral is "uncharacterized LOC126540006". Lineage: Eukaryota; Metazoa; Arthropoda; Arachnida; Ixodida; Ixodidae. The record is from RNAcentral.
GGGCCUCACUAAGCUAAUGAUGCUUGAUAAUUGUUGUCUUAUUCGCAUUCCUUGCCUGGGUCAGAUAACCAGGUUAAACAAUGCCACCACAUGAACGUGCUUUUUCAUGCAAGCUGCCAACAGUGGCUGUCAUUUUCACGUUGAUUGCUGCCGUUUCCCCAACAGUGGUGACAGCAUGACUGCGCUUUGACGUGCAGACUGCAAACGGUGCCUUUCAAGCAUACCCUCGAGUACUUCUAUGAAUGGCUACCCGAAUGAGUAUUUUCGGCCUCACUAAGCUAAUGAUGCUUGAUAAUUGUUGUCUUAUUCGCAUUACUUGCCUGGGUCAGAUAACCAGGUUAAACAAUGCCACCACAUGAACGUGCUUUUUCAUGCAAGCUGCCAACAGUGGC